This 202-nucleotide long non-coding RNA is filed under the name Elaeis guineensis (African oil palm). RNAcentral describes it as "long non-coding RNA (EGUI_LNC052564)". The record is from RNAcentral. Lineage: Eukaryota; Viridiplantae; Streptophyta; Magnoliopsida; Arecales; Arecaceae.
UUUCUUAUAACCUAUCUUAGUUUUAGGACAAGGCUUUAGGAUUUAAGAUAAAGCCUUAUCUAAUCUUAAUAAGAGUUGUGAGGGUCUUAAAGAAGGAAAGUCAGAAGUCCAAAGAAAGGUCUAAGAGGAUCGAGUCAGGUUCUUAGAGAAAUUUGACCGAUACAGGGCUAGUCGAGUUUUAGGGACUAGAACUCUUGAAGCA